UAGAUACCCUGGUAGUCCGCACUGUAAACGAUGGAUGCCCGCCGUUGGCGCCCUGCGCCUGCGGCCAAGCGAAAGCAUUAAGCAUCCCACCUGGGGAGUACGCCGGCAACGGUGAAACUCAAAGGAAUUGACGGGGGCCCGCACAAGCGGAGGAACAUGUGGUUUAAUUCGAUGAUACGCGAGGAACCUUACCCGGGCUUGAAUUGCAGUCGCUGCCCACAGAGACGUGGGCUUCCCUUCGGGGCGUCUG
RNAcentral lists this ribosomal RNA (250 nucleotides) under uncultured bacterium. Its description in RNAcentral is "partial 16S ribosomal RNA". It matches the Rfam family "Bacterial small subunit ribosomal RNA", at positions 779 to 1031 of the family's 1533-position model. The record is from RNAcentral.